AAAAAAAAAAUAAGAGAAUGAAGAAGACUCCCGCUGGGAGUCUUCUUCCACCCAAAUCACCGGUGGAGAGGUUGAAUCCGAGGCGGAUUCGACCUCCCCUACACCCUAUAAAACCCCCUCUCCUUCCCUCUAAGGUUGGUCACGACGAGCACCGGAUUUUUCUUUUAUUUUUCUCGAAUUUUUUCGUUGAAGCCGCGGAUGUCCUCAUCGUGUUCAUCUCAAAUACUCGCCGGAGACCUCGCCGGAGUCGGAGGUAAACCCGUCUUCUCC
Molecule: long non-coding RNA, 270 nt
Filed under: Elaeis guineensis (African oil palm)
Lineage: Eukaryota; Viridiplantae; Streptophyta; Magnoliopsida; Arecales; Arecaceae
Description: long non-coding RNA (EGUI_LNC030369)
Source: RNAcentral